GAUGAACGCUAGCUACAGGCUUAACACAUGCAAGUCGAGGGGAAACGCCAUCGAAAGCUUGCUUUUGAUGGGCGUCGACCGGCGCACGGGUGAGUAACGCGUAUCCAACCUGCCCAUCACUUGGUAAUAACCUUGCGAAAGUAAGACUAAUACCCAAUGACAUCCCACGAAGACAUCUGAAUGGGUUUAAAGAUUUAUCGGUGAUGGAUGGGGAUGCGUCUGAUUAGCUUGUUGUCGGGGUAACGGCCCACCAAGGCAACGAUCAGUAGGGGUUCUGAGAGGAAGGUCCCCGAUAUGGGAACUGGACCACGGGCCAAAGUCCUACGGGAGGCAGCAGUGAGGAAUAGUGGUCAAGGGGAGAGAGCCUGAUCCAGCGAAGUAGAGUGCAGGAUGGCGGCGCUAUGGGUUGUAAACUGCUUUUAGAAGGGAAUAAAGUGGUUUUCGGGAGAGUUUUUGAAUGUACCGGAUGAAUAAGGACCGGCUAAUUCCGUG
Molecule: ribosomal RNA, 492 nt
Filed under: uncultured bacterium
Lineage: Bacteria
Description: partial 16S ribosomal RNA
Rfam family: Bacterial small subunit ribosomal RNA
Source: RNAcentral